GGAAGGGGUGUAUUUAUUAGAUUAAAAACCAAUGCCCUUCGGGGCUCCUUGGUGAUUCAUAAUAACUUAACGAAUCGCAUGGCCUUGCGCCGGCGAUGGUUCAUUCAAAUUUCUGCCCUAUCAACUUUCGAUGGUAGGAUAGUGGCCUACCAUGGUCUUAACGGGUAACGGGGAAUUAUGGGUUCGAUUCCGGAGAGGGAGCCUGAGAAACGGCUACCACAUCCAAGGAAGGCAGCAGGCGCGCAAAUUACCCAAUCCCGACACGGGGAGGUAGUGACAAUAAAUACUGAUACGGGGCUCUUUCGGGUCUCGUAAUUGGAAUGAGUACAAUCUAAAUCCCUUAACGAGGAACAAUUGGAGGGCAAGUCUGGUGCCAGCAGCCGCGGUAAUUCCAGCUCCAAUAGCGUAUAUUAAAUUUGUUGCAUUUAAAAAGCUCGUAGUUGAACCUUGGGCCUGGCUGGCCGGUCCGCCUCACCGCGUGCACUGGUCCGGCCGGGCCUUUCCUUCUGGCAGAACCCCAUGGCCUUCGUUGGCCGUGGCGGGGAACCAGGACUUUUAC
RNAcentral lists this ribosomal RNA (559 nucleotides) under uncultured fungus. RNAcentral's name for it is "SSU rRNA". It matches the Rfam family "Eukaryotic small subunit ribosomal RNA", at positions 194 to 755 of the family's 1831-position model. The record is from RNAcentral. Lineage: Eukaryota; Fungi.